This is an RNA transcript of Chrysemys picta bellii (western painted turtle), 3348 nucleotides long. It is a transcript of the gene named chromosome 6 C9orf85 homolog, with no coding region annotated. NCBI's taxonomy places the organism in Eukaryota, Metazoa, Chordata, Testudines, Emydidae. The record is from RefSeq and is a predicted model, not a curated record.
AGUGGGGUGGGGCGAGAGGUUCCGGGUCAGGGGGCGGGCCAGGGAGCCACGUGCGGCGCCGUUGACUCCCGGUGCGGAAGGAUGAGUUCCCAGAGGGGGAAUGUUGCCCGCUCACGGCCCCAGAGACAUCAGAACUCGCGAGUCUUCAAAAAUGACAAGUAUGACACAAGCGCCCAGCGCAAGAAAAUCAAUGCAAAGCUUCAUGAUGGAGUGUGUCAGCACUGUAAGGAGGUCUUGGAGUGGCGUGUAAAAUUCAGCAAAUACAAACCACUAUCAAAACCGAAGAAAUGGGUCAACCACGGAAAUGUCUGGAAUCUUGUAUUUAUACUUUGCAACAACAGUAUAAACUCAACUUUAAAUUUAAAUAGUGAUUAGUAUUUAGAAAUCUAGUUAUGAAGGAAUUAUGAAAAAUUCAGAUUUAACCCAGUCUCAUCUGGAGAUUACCAUCUUCAGUUGCAACUACUUCAUACAAUUAAUUAUAUACUGGUGUACACGGUUCUACACUUAAGUUGUUGAAAAACAUUACUCUGUAAAAAAAGUACACACAUACACUUGCUGAUUUUGCAGUUCCCAUAUGUCUGCUGAAGGUAUUGACUUCAUUGCAGAUUUUGGCAACUUGUACCAUUUAAUUUAUUGUGGAUGUUACUUGUAGAUUUCAGAAUUAUGAAUAGUGUCCUCCUAGAGCUCCAAAUACUAAAACCAGAGUGAAAAAUAUCAAUUGCUUCACAGUAACUUGAGUAACAAGGGCUACUUCAUGGGUUACUAUGGGUGUGUGGUAUGUUUGAUCAAUUUGGGAAAGCAAACAAAAACAGAGAAGGUCAGUUUGCCUUCAGAGUUUAACUUUACUUUUAGAAAAUUCCUAAAUGUAUCUCAAAAGACUUAAAUAUUCUUGCUUAGGGCCCCCAGUGGAUUAGCACCAGCUCUGUUCUGUGAGGUGAAGAAAAGAUCACCUUUCAGGCCAUAAGUGGUAAAGAGGGAGAGGUCUAGGUUUUAAAGGGCUAUUAAGGUGCUAAUUAAUCUCUAAAUUUCUCAAAAUAAUUUAGUAUUCCGAAACCGCUUUUUAUUUUAAACAGCAACUUGACUGGACAGAUUUUUUUGUACAGCUUUUCCAUCUUGUUCAUGCUAUCUUGGCUGCUGGAAAUUAUUAAGUGAUCUAGUGUUAUGUGACAUUCCAUCAGUCAUAACUCACUGAUGCUUGCCAGAAACUGGAUGCAGAAGACAUUUAUAAAAUGUAAGCAACAUCCCAUGAAGCUUACAUGGUUCCAUUCCAGACUUGAAACUCAGACCAGGUUCUUCAUCUUUGCUAAGUUGAUAGUUCCUGAUUUGAGCCAUAGUUUCAAAGCCACAUGAGAUUUAGGAUUGCUUAAUUUUGAAGCAGCAUUUCAAAUAAAAAAAAUGCAGAGUGUCAUCUGAGGUACAGUAGAACCUCCAAAUUAAACACCAGAGUUACAAACUGACUGGUCAGCCACACAUCUCACUUGGAACCAGAAAUAGGCGAUCAGGCAUCAGAGACUUCCCCCCCUCCCCGAAAAAGCACAAAUGCAGUACAGUACUGUUAAACCACUUUAAAAAAGAGUAAGUUUAAAAAAAAAUUUGACAAGGUAAGGAAAUGGUUUCUGUGCUUUUAUAAUUUAAUAUGGUUAGCAGCAUUUUUCUUCUGCAUAGUAGUUUCAAAGCUGUAUUAAGUUGAUGUUCAGUUAUAAACUUUUGGGAAAAAAACCAUAAUGUUUUGUUCAGAGUUAUGAACAACUUCCAUUCCCAAGCUGUUCAUAACUGAGGUUCUACUGUAGUUUGGAAACCAUGCAAAUGGAAACCAAAGAAAAUAUUCCCACAAAUAUUUGUUUGGUUUGUUGUGUGCUUGCUUGCAGUUUAUAGUGUGGUCUGUUUGGGGUGCUGUUGGUCAAGCAGCCUGGUAGGCAAUAUUGAGAGCUUCCUACAAGGCUCUAGCCUGCCAUCCUUUUAUCCCUAAUCCCUCUAAAAUCCCUUAUCAAGGGGGCCAGGCUAACUCAGGGAGUAUAGGUGGACAGAGGUCACUCACUGACAACAUGAAGCAUAAUGGGCUGAAGGUGUUGAGAGUUUGUGUAAUGACAAAAGUAUUUAAAAAAUCUUGAAAAUUAAGUCAUAAGAUUUAUUCUGUGGCUAGUUCCAUAAGGUCCACUCCUAGAAAAACUGAGCUCUUUUAACAGGGAUGGGAUAUGCAGUCCUCAUGGCCAAAAGAGAAAAGGCCUGUUGCACCUUCUGUCUAAAUCUGGCUACUGAUAAAUCUGAAUGGAAGGCAAGUAGUGGACAUAUUCCACUUCUGCCCUCAUCAGGGGUAGGCAUACUCUGAAGAGCCAGUUCAGGAUUCAGUGAAGACUAUUUCAGUUGACCUUCUACUUGCUUUGUUACUGAAUUGAGUCAGUGAGAGCAGCUCCCCUUGCAAACCUAAAAGUAUCCCAGUAGGGGUUGCUCUUGACACUUGAAUCACAUUAUUAGUUCCCAAAGCUUUCUUAUGGCUUUCCUGGCUUCAGGGGAAGUUGAAUUUUAAAUUUAUUUUCAUUUUGUAAAGGAAUAUUCAGUGCUAUGACUAAUUUUUAAAUGAAAAUAGCCAGCUUGGUCAAAAAGUGACAUUUUCAUGAAAAAAAUGGAAGUUUUAAUUUGAGUUCAGAUCAGAUCCAUUUUUUAACAUUACAUUUAAUCAUGCUAGUUACUGAAACUAAAGCGCUCCGUGACAGUACGUGAAGGGCUUAUAUUCUCAGAGAUUUAUCCUACCAUGAUUCCUGUGCACUUCAAUGUUCUGAGGAGUCGGACAUCCAUGAAUCACUAUCUUUGAAGCACAGUGUAGUCUACAGUAAGGGGAGACAGAUUGGAGCCCAAGGAAGCGAGUUGUGGUAGAAACCAGAUAGUACUGAAUACUGUAAAAGUGCACAAAUUACGUACUUUAUGUUCUCCUUGAACCUUUUUGCAUGAAUGACAUGUCUUUGGCUGGAAACUUUGCAGGGUCUGAGUGAGUACACCUUAGAAACCUUGCUGCUACAGGCUGAGCUUUACAUAUCCUCUUCCAGAACGUUACCACAGAAGAUUUUAGAGCAGUUUAUCCUGUGGUACUGUACAUUCACGCUCCAUGAGAUCUGGUGCCCUGCAAUGUAAGGUAUUAAAGGUGUGAAGUGCCUCCAAAAGACUGUAAAGGAUUCUUACCAUAUUAUUUGUAGAUCUUGUGCUUGUGAAUUAGAAGUAUGUGCUAAAUGUGGAAAGAGAGAAGAAAUUGUAGUUCCGAUCAGUAAAGGACCAGAGAAGAUGGAGAAUGAGACUACUGGAAAUUGCCAAAGAAGGAUCAGUAGAAGAGAGGAGUCAGAGGAAAGUGAUGAA